CAAUAGCGUAUAUUAAAGUUGUUGCGGUUAAAAAGCUCGUAGUUGGAUUUCGGGUGGGACGCAGCGGUCUCGCAUUGCGUUUGUACUGCUGCAGCCCUCCUUCUUGCCGGGGGCGGCCUCUCGGACUUCACUGUCUGGGGGUCAGAAUCGGCGAUGUUACUUUGAGUAAAUUAGAGUGUUCAAAGCAAGCUUACGCUCUGAAUAUAAUAGCAUGGGAUAACACGACAGGACUCUGGCCUAUCGUGUUGGUCUAUAGGACCAGAGUAAUGAUUAAGAGGGACAGUCGGGGGCAUUCGUAUUCCGUUGUCAGAGGUGAAAUUCUUGGAUUUACGGAAGACGAACAUCUGCGAAAGCAUUUGCCAAGGAUGUUUNCAUUG
Molecule: ribosomal RNA, 377 nt
Filed under: uncultured eukaryote
Lineage: Eukaryota
Description: partial 18S ribosomal RNA
Rfam family: Eukaryotic small subunit ribosomal RNA
Source: RNAcentral